ACAAUGAUUUCUCUAGUAACGGCGAGUGAAGAGGAAAGAGCUCAAAGUUGGAAACUGUUUGGCUUAGCUAAACCGUAUUGUAAACUGUAGAAACAUUUUCCUGGCACACCAGAUUAAUAAGUCCUUUGGAACAAGGCAUCAUGGAGGGUGAGAAUCCCGUCUUUGAUCUGAGUAGUUGUCUUUUGUGAUAUGUUUUCAAAGAGUCAGGUUGUUUGGGAAUGCAGCCUAAAUUGGGUGGUAAAUCUCACCUAAAGCUAAAUAUUUGCGAGAGACCGAUAGCGAACAAGUACCGUGAGGGAAAGAUGAAAAGAACUUUGAAAAGAGAGUUAAACAGUAUGUGAAAUUGUUAAAAGGGAACCGUUUGGAGCCAGACUGGUUUGCUUGUAAUCAACCUAGAAUUCGUUUUGGGUGCACUUGCAGGCUAUACCUGCCAACAACAGUUUGAUUUGGAGGAAAAAAUUAGUAGGAAUGUAGCCUCUCGAGGUGUUAUAGCCUACUAUCAUACUCUGGAUUGGACUGAGGAACGCAGCGAAUGCCUUUAGGCAAGAUUGCUGGGUGCUUUCGCUAAUAAAUGUUAGAAUUUCUGCUUCGGGUGGUGCUAAUGUUUAAAGGAGGAACACAUCUAGUAUAUUUUUUAUUCGCUUAGGUUG
RNAcentral lists this ribosomal RNA (650 nucleotides) under Mucor fragilis. RNAcentral's name for it is "eukaryotic LSU rRNA". It matches the Rfam family "Eukaryotic large subunit ribosomal RNA", at positions 68 to 636 of the family's 3401-position model. Lineage: Eukaryota; Fungi; Mucoromycota; Mucoromycetes; Mucorales; Mucoraceae. The record is from RNAcentral.